Molecule: transfer RNA, 74 nt
Filed under: Podarcis lilfordi (Lilford's wall lizard)
Lineage: Eukaryota; Metazoa; Chordata; Lepidosauria; Squamata; Lacertidae
Rfam family: tRNA
About the family: Transfer RNA (tRNA) molecules are approximately 80 nucleotides in length. Their secondary structure includes four short double-helical elements and three loops (D, anti-codon, and T loops). Further hydrogen bonds mediate the characteristic L-shaped molecular structure. tRNAs have two regions of fundamental functional importance: the anti-codon, which is responsible for specific mRNA codon recognition, and the 3' end, to which the tRNAs corresponding amino acid is attached (by aminoacyl-tRNA synthetases). tRNAs cope with the degeneracy of the genetic code in two manners: having more than one tRNA (with a specific anti-codon) for a particular amino acid; and 'wobble' base-pairing, i.e. permitting non-standard base-pairing at the 3rd anti-codon position.
Source: Rfam by way of RNAcentral
GCCUGGAUAGCUCAGUUGGUUAGAGCGUGAUGCUGAUGAUACCAAGGUUGCAGGUUCGAUCCCCGUCCGGGACA